RNAcentral lists this ribosomal RNA (444 nucleotides) under Aulospongus similaustralis. RNAcentral describes it as "eukaryotic LSU rRNA". Lineage: Eukaryota; Metazoa; Porifera; Demospongiae; Axinellida; Raspailiidae. The record is from RNAcentral.
AAACUUUGGAGAGAGAGUCAAAGAGACCGCGAAACCGUUAGGAGGGAAACGAACGUGGCCAUGAAGACUCCCUUCAGGUUCAGGGAGCCUCGGAUUGGGCGUUUGCGAGGCCGGGGACCCGCGAUCGGGCUCCGCCGGCGCAAGUCCUUCCAGGCUCCUGCAAUCCCGUCUGGAGUCCGCCAACGGCGGUCGUUCGCGGUCGAGGAGGGCCGUGGGGUAGGUGCCUCUUGGGCGGUCUCGGCCAGGAGAACUUAUAGCCUUNGGCCCGGUGGACCGGGAACGGCCGAGGAGCGUUGCGACCAGUCGCACGGCGUAGCGCAGGCUCCGCAGGGGCCGGGUCGCUCCCGGACUUGCGUGCCUCGCGGCCAGCCACUGCCCGCAGUGGCGGUCGACGGUGGGUGCGCUCGUGCGGGAGACGGACCACGAUUUGCGCUGAGGUCGUUG